This 76-nucleotide transfer RNA is filed under the name Candidatus Gottesmanbacteria bacterium RIFOXYB1_FULL_47_11. RNAcentral's name for it is "tRNA-Val". It matches the Rfam family "tRNA". Rfam says of the family: Transfer RNA (tRNA) molecules are approximately 80 nucleotides in length. Their secondary structure includes four short double-helical elements and three loops (D, anti-codon, and T loops). Lineage: Bacteria; Candidatus Gottesmaniibacteriota. The record is from RNAcentral.
GCGCGCAUAGCUCAGCUGGUAGAGCGUUUCAUUGACAUUGAAAAGGUCUCAGGUUCAAGUCCUGAUGCGCGCACCA